RNAcentral lists this ribosomal RNA (555 nucleotides) under uncultured Glomus. RNAcentral's name for it is "SSU rRNA". It matches the Rfam family "Eukaryotic small subunit ribosomal RNA", at positions 548 to 1103 of the family's 1831-position model. The record is from RNAcentral. Lineage: Eukaryota; Fungi; Glomeromycota; Glomeromycetes; Glomerales; Glomeraceae.
UUGGAGGGCAAGUCUGGUGCCAGCAGCCGCGGUAAUUCCAGCUCCAAUAGCGUAUAUUAAAGUUGUUGCAGUUAAAAAGCUCGUAGUUGAAUUUCGGGAUCAAUGUUUCGGUCAUGCCGUUGGUAUGUACUGAUAUUAUUGAUUUCUCACCUUCUAAAGAACCGUAAUGCCAUUAAUUUGGUGUCACGGGGAAUUAGGACUGUUACCUUGAAAAAAUUAGAGUGUUUAAAGCAGGCUCACGCUUGAAUACAUUAGCAUGGAAUAAUGAAAUAGGACAUCCGAUUCUAUUUUGUUGGUUUCUAGGAUCGAUGUAAUGAUUAAUAGGGAUAGUUGGGGGCAUUAGUAUUCAAUUGUCAGAGGUGAAAUUCUUGGAUUUAUUGAAGACUAACUACUGCGAAAGCAUUUGCCAAGGAUGUUUUCAUUAAUCAAGAACGAAAGUUAGGGGAUCGAAGACGAUCAGAUACCGUCGUAGUCUUAACCAUAAACUAUGCCGACUAGGGAUCGGAUGAUGUUAAUUUUUUAAUGACUCAUUCGGCACCUUACGGGAAACCAAAG